AACGAACGCUGGCGGCAGGCUUAACACAUGCAAGUCGAGCGCAUCCUUCGGGGUGAGCGGCGGACGGGUGAGUAGCGCGUGGGAACGUGCCCUCUUCUACGGAAUAGCCUCGGGAAACUGAGAGUAAUGCCGUAUACGCCCGCAAGGGGAAAGAUUUAUCGGAGGAGGAUCGGCCCGCGUUGGAUUAGGUAGUUGGUGGGGUAACGGCCUACCAAGCCGACGAUCCAUAGCUGGUUUGAGAGGAUGAUCAGCCACACUGGGACUGAGACACGGCCCAGACUCCUACGGGAGGCAGCAGUGGGGAAUCUUGGACAAUGGGGGCAACCCUGAUCCAGCCAUGCCGCGUGAUCGAUGAAGGCCUUAGGGUUGUAAAGAUCUUUCAGCUGGGUAGAUAAUGACGGUACCAGCAGAAGAAGCCCCGGCUAACUCCGUG
RNAcentral lists this ribosomal RNA (433 nucleotides) under uncultured bacterium. Its description in RNAcentral is "partial 16S ribosomal RNA". It matches the Rfam family "Bacterial small subunit ribosomal RNA", at positions 29 to 507 of the family's 1533-position model. The record is from RNAcentral.